This 22-nucleotide small nuclear RNA is filed under the name Arabidopsis thaliana (thale cress). RNAcentral describes it as "snRNA_17646". The record is from RNAcentral. Lineage: Eukaryota; Viridiplantae; Streptophyta; Magnoliopsida; Brassicales; Brassicaceae.
CACCAAAGAUAUCGUACUAAUC